This 76-nucleotide transfer RNA is filed under the name Acidimicrobiaceae bacterium. RNAcentral's name for it is "tRNA-Lys". It matches the Rfam family "tRNA". Rfam says of the family: Transfer RNA (tRNA) molecules are approximately 80 nucleotides in length. The record is from RNAcentral. Lineage: Bacteria; Bacillati; Actinomycetota; Acidimicrobiia; Acidimicrobiales; Acidimicrobiaceae.
GCACCUCUAGCUCAAUUGGUAGAGCAACGGACUCUUAAUCCGCAGGUUCUGGGUUCGAGUCCCAGGGGGUGUACCA